RNAcentral lists this ribosomal RNA (497 nucleotides) under uncultured bacterium. Its description in RNAcentral is "partial 16S ribosomal RNA". It matches the Rfam family "Bacterial small subunit ribosomal RNA", at positions 28 to 507 of the family's 1533-position model. The record is from RNAcentral.
GAUGAACGCUGGCGGCGUGCCUAAUACAUGCAAGUCGAGCGAACAGACGAGGAGCUUGCUCCUCUGACGUUAGCGGCGGACGGGUGAGUAACACGUGGAUAACCUACCUAUAAGACUGGGAUAACUUCGGGAAACCGGAGCUAAUACCGGAUAAUAUAUUGAACCGCAUGGUUCAAUAGUGAAAGACGGUUUUGCUGUCACUUAUAGAUGGAUCUGCGACGCAUUAGCUAGUUGGUAAGGUAACGGCUUACCAAGGCGACGAUGCGUAGCCGACCUGAGAGGGUGAGCGGCCACACUGGAACUAAGACACGGUCCAGACUCCUAGGGGAGGCAGCAGUAGGGAAUCUUCCGCAAUAGGCGAAAGCCUGACGGAGCAACGCCGCGUGAGUGAUGAAGGUCUUCGGAUCGUAGAACUCUGUUAUUAGGGAAGAACAAAUGUGUAAGUAACUAUGCACGUCUUGACGGUACCUAAUCAGAAAGACACGGCUAACUACGUG